AACUAACGCUGGCGGCGUGCCUAACACAUGCAAGUCGUACGAGAAAGUUGGCUUCGGCCGAUGAGUAAAGUGGCGCACGGGUGAGUAACGCGUGGAUAAUCUACCCCUCAGUUGGGAAUAACUCAUCGAAAGGUGGGCUAAUACCGAAUAAUACUGCAUGACUUCUGUUGUGUAGUCAAAGAUGGCCUCUGCUUGCAAGCUAUCGCUGAAGGAUGAGUCCGCGUACCAUUAGCUAGUUGGUAGGGUAAUGGCCUACCAAGGCAACGAUGGUUAGCUGGUCUGAGAGGAUGAUCAGCCACACUGGAACUGAGACACGGUCCAGACUCCUACGGGAGGCAGCAGUGAGGAAUAUUGCGCAAUGGGGGCAACCCUGACGCAGCAACGCCGCGUGAGUGAGGAAGGUUUUCGGACCGUAAAGCUCUGUCGAGCGGGAAGAAAUGCAUAGUGGCUAAUAUCCAUUAUGCUUGACGGUACCGCUAAAGGAAGCACCGGCUAACUCCGCGCCAGCAGCCGCGGUAAUACGGGGGGUGCUAGCGUUGUUCGGAAUCAUUGGGCGUAAAGAGCGUGUAGGCGGCUGGAUAAGUCAGAUGUGAAAGCCCUGGGCUUAACCCAGGAAGUGCAUUUGAAACUGUUCAGCUUGAGUAAGGGAGAGGAAAGUGGAAUUCCUGGUGUAGAGGUGAAAUUCGUAGAUAUCAGGAGGAACACCGGUGGCGAAGGCGACUUUCUGGCCCUAUACUGACGCUGAGACGCGAGAGCGUGGGUAGCAAACAGGAUUAGAUACCCUGGUAGUCCACGCUGUAAACGAUGUUCACUAGGUGUUGGGGGUAUUGACCCUCUCAGUGCCGCAGCU
RNAcentral lists this ribosomal RNA (850 nucleotides) under uncultured bacterium. RNAcentral describes it as "bacterial SSU rRNA". It matches the Rfam family "Bacterial small subunit ribosomal RNA", at positions 28 to 853 of the family's 1533-position model. The record is from RNAcentral.